AUGCACAAUGAUUUUAUUCGAACACGGAGAAUUAUUAGUCAAAUUACGUUUCAUUAGAGUAUUAAUAUAUUAAUAUUGACUGGCAGCACUGAAUUUUGGACUGAGAUGGGGUAUUUUUAGAGCGAAGUUUAAGGGAAUUCUCGAGGCGAGGAAGUGAUAUGAAGAAACUGAAAGCUUGAAACUCUAAAGAUGAAGAUUGAAUCUGUAGAUAUAGAUCUUUCUUCCAAAUCUAUUAACAUAGAUAUAAAGAAAAAGCCAAAAGAUAAAAAUGGAUGGUUACGUGCUACUUUAGAUGAUAUUUCAAAAGCAUCAACUGCAAAACAGUUAACUGUUGGAGGAUUAUCUGGAUGGUGUUCUGGUUAUUUAUUUACUAAAGUUGGAAAAGUAGCAGCAGCAGCUGUAGCUGGAAGUAUUAUAUUUUUGCAGAUUGCACAAUAUAGAGGUUAUAUCAAAGUUAAUUGGACCACAGUAAAUAAAGAUCUGAACAAAGCAAAACAGAAUUUGGAAAAAGAAGCAAAGAACAGGCUUCCUCAACUUGUUAAUGAAGGGCAAAAAUUUGUAGAAGAAAAUGUGGUUUUAGUUACGGGCUUUGCUGGUGGCUUCCUUCUUGGUUUAGCAUCUGCCUGAUAUAAUGACUUUUAAGUAGUAUAAUGAGGAAAGAAUAUAUUUUGUUUUCUGAAAAAUACAAUGCUUUUCUGUACAGGAUAUAAACAAACCAAGAGGCCAAACAAUUGCAGCACACCUAUCGGCAAACUUGUUUAUUACCUCUACUUUUAAGGGUGAAAAUAAUAGGCAUCCAUUGACUCUGGUAAAAGUUUACUUAGGUAGUCCGAAUGGUGACCAGCAUAGCUACUUACACCGGCAUUUAAAUAAAAAAAACUUUCAUUCACCAUUGACAUAUUUCUAAUUCCUUGUCUCUUGAUUCAUUCAAUAAAAAGCAUGGUUCGGAUAAUUCUUUCAUAACUUAGUCCUUUUCAAUUGUAGAAACUUUUUCCGCAUUCUUAACAUAUAUCUACAUUCUUCCUAUUAAGAUUAUCAGGUUUUAUUUGGUGCUUACCUUCAGGACUGAAGGUACAAUAUUUGGCUCUUUCCAAACUUACUCGUAUGUUGAACAAACAGGUCGAAAAAUAUUGGGAUUACUCCCAAUAUUUUUUCUUCUUGGAACUAUAUAACGAACGAAAACUGAUUUUAUAGUUAAUAUAUUUAAAUAAGUUGUCAUUUCAGCGAGAUCUGUGAAACUCCCACAAAAUCAAUGCCCUCUUUUUCUCGCAAUUUUACAAUCUUUAUCAAACCAUUCAAGACCAACUCUGCCUCUUAUCCCAAAUUUUCUUACUAAUCCACAUUGCCUAGCAGAUUUUCAAAUGAAAGUAAUGAUUAAUGAAUAAGUUCAUUCAAUAUUGUCACAAUUGUAUUAAUUAUGCAGUAUUUGUGAAUCUUAGAGAAAAGUUUGUAAUACUUUUAAUCUAACAUUGAUUAAAAUUUUUUUCAAAUAUUUUAUUACUCUACGAAUCUUUCACAAGUUCUCUCAAAUUCAAGAUUCUCUCAGUUUGAGGGCAAAUGUUAACAAAACUGUUUAAAAAAAAAAAGAUAAAUAAUACCAUUUAAAUUAAAAUUAUUUCUAAUUUUAAGCUUUAAAGUGGAUGAACAAAAUCAUUCCCCACACAAAUAUCCAUACAUACAGAAAAUUCCCCAAAUUUUCUCCACAUUUCAAGAUUCCAAGUCCAAAAAUGUAAAAAUUUUGGAGUCAUUUUUGUAGGACCUUUCAAGAUUUUUACAUAGUUUGAUAUGCACAAAGUAUGAGGAUUAGGAGGAAAAAAAAACAUUUGUAACU
This 1831-nucleotide unclassified non-coding RNA is filed under the name Centruroides sculpturatus (bark scorpion). Its description in RNAcentral is "fUN14 domain-containing protein 1-like, transcript variant X2". The record is from RNAcentral. Lineage: Eukaryota; Metazoa; Arthropoda; Arachnida; Scorpiones; Buthidae.